This 408-nucleotide ribosomal RNA is filed under the name Enterococcus hirae. Its description in RNAcentral is "partial 23S ribosomal RNA". It matches the Rfam family "Bacterial large subunit ribosomal RNA", at positions 332 to 742 of the family's 2925-position model. Lineage: Bacteria; Bacillati; Bacillota; Bacilli; Lactobacillales; Enterococcaceae. The record is from RNAcentral.
GUCGAAUGACUUGGAAAAGUCAGUCAAAGAGGGUAAAAACCCCGUAGAUGAAAUUUGGAAGGCACCUAGGAGGAUCCUGAGUACGGCGGAACACGAGGAAUUCCGUCGGAAUCCGGGAGGACCAUCUCCCAAGGCUAAAUACUCCCUAGUGACCGAUAGUGAACCAGUACCGUGAGGGAAAGGUGAAAAGCACCCCGGAAGGGGAGUGAAAUAGAACCUGAAACCGUGUGCCUACAACAAGUCAAAGCCCGUUAAUGGGUGAUGGCGUGCCUUUUGUAGAAUGAACCGGCGAGUUACGAUUGCAUGCGAGGUUAAGUUGAAGAGACGGAGCCGCAGCGAAAGCGAGUCUGAAUAGGGCGUUUGAGUAUGUAGUCGUAGACCCGAAACCAUGUGAUCUACCCAUGUCCA